CGGAGUUCUUCCCCGGCGUUCAUUGGUUGUUUUGGAUUCUACCCAGACGAGGAUCCGCCGCCUUCGGGACUGUCUGGCUCCAUCAUAUUUCCUUUCUUCCUUAACCGACUGUUUGAGCUGUCAAUCAUCUCCCUCUCGCCUUUACAUGCACGCUCACGCAGGGUUUUUUUUUGUUGUUUUUUUGUCUUGUUUUGCAGAUUUCCUAGCUGACAUUUAUUGUUAUCUUCUAUUUCAGUGACUUCGUCAAACGAAUGGCAUGGCUGCCAGCAAGCCAGAGGCUGCGUGAGACGGAAUGCACUUCCCAUGAUCCCCGGGAAAGCUGCUGCUGAGUUCCAAGGAGGGGAACCAUUUUCUGAGAGAGAGGAAGAUAGUUCUACAUGUUGUUUGCUUUCAAGUUCGUUUUGUAAGUUCCAUUCCAAUGAGUCACAUAAAUUAAAUUUAUCUGAUAAGGC
This is a non-coding RNA of Pantherophis guttatus, 452 nucleotides long. The record is from RefSeq and is a predicted model, not a curated record. NCBI's taxonomy places the organism in Eukaryota, Metazoa, Chordata, Lepidosauria, Squamata, Colubridae.